RNAcentral lists this ribosomal RNA (253 nucleotides) under uncultured bacterium. RNAcentral describes it as "partial 16S ribosomal RNA". It matches the Rfam family "Bacterial small subunit ribosomal RNA", at positions 524 to 776 of the family's 1533-position model. The record is from RNAcentral.
UACGUAGGGUGCAAGCGUUAAUCGGAAUUACUGGGCGUAAAGCGUGCGCAGGCGGCUUUGCAAGACAGAUGUGAAAUCCCCGGGCUUAACCUGGGAACUGCAUUUGUGACUGCAUGGCUGGAGUACGGUAGAGGGGGAUGGAAUUCCGCGUGUAGCAGUGAAAUGCGUAGAUAUGCGGAGGAACACCGAUGGCGAAGGCAGUCCCCUGGACCUGUACUGACGCUCAUGCACGAAAGCGUGGGGAGCAAACAGG